RNAcentral lists this ribosomal RNA (664 nucleotides) under uncultured fungus. RNAcentral describes it as "eukaryotic LSU rRNA". The stretch from base 249 to 403 matches the Rfam family "5.8S ribosomal RNA". Lineage: Eukaryota; Fungi. The record is from RNAcentral.
AAGUCGUAACAAGGUUUCCGUAGGUGAACCUGCGGAAGGAUCAUUAUUGAACUGUCAACACGAGUUGUUGCUGGCCCUCAAAUGGGGGCAUGUGCACACUCUGUUUACAAAUCCACUCACACCUGUGCACCCUCAGUAGUUCUAUGGUGUGGAGGACACUGUCCUCCGACCGUGGUUCUAUGUCUUUACACACACACAUAGUGACAAAGUCUAAUGGGAUGUAUGUGGCGUUUAACGCAAUAUAAUACAACUUUCAGCAACGGAUCUCUUGGCUCUCGCAUCGAUGAAGAACGCAGCGAAAUGCGAUAAGUAAUGUGAAUUGCAGAAUUCAGUGAAUCAUCGAAUCUUUGAACGCACCUUGCGCCCUUUGGCUAUUCCAAAGGGCAUGCCUGUUUGAGUAUCAUGAACACCUCAACCCUCAUGGUUUACCAUGUGGGCUUGGAUUUUGGGGGUCUUGCUGGAUUGUAGUCAGCUCCCCUUAAAUGAAUCAGCUUGCCAGUGUCUGGUGGCAUCACAGGUGUGAUAAUUAUCUACGCUUGUGGUUUUACAUCAGGUAACCUUCAGAGAUGGGGGUUCACUGGGGCUUACAAAAGGUCUCUCCUUGGUGAGGACAGCUCUUUGAAUGUUUGAUCUCAAAUCAGGUAGGACUACCCGCUGAACUUAA